This is a long non-coding RNA of Suricata suricatta (meerkat), 670 nucleotides long. RefSeq lists it as uncharacterized. NCBI's taxonomy places the organism in Eukaryota, Metazoa, Chordata, Mammalia, Carnivora, Herpestidae. The transcript is spliced from 2 exons. The record is from RefSeq and is a predicted model, not a curated record.
GGCCGCGGAGGUCCGCAGAAGCGGGGUGCUGGCGGCUCCCGAUGGCACCUGCUCGGUGUCACUCAGACGUCGGCGUGCGAACCAGGGGACCCCCGGAGUUAGCCAGCUGCGACCGGCCCGUCCCCUGAGACAGGUUGAAGGUGUUGCACGUCGGUUACUUCCAUUGUGUUUUUCGAACGUCCGUGCUGAUGACUUUCAGAGAAAACUUGUAUUUAGAGCGAAGAGAAUCAACAGAUGCAUUUUGUAACCUGCGAGUGCUCUGGAAAAGGCCCUGCGGCCCCUUUCUUUACCUCAGGGAACUGCUGGACGCUGUGGAGGAACGUGGGUGUCCGGAUGUAGAAGUGCAUUUUGCCAGAGAGUUUACAAGAGCCCUUUCCAGGAAGGUCAGGGUCAAUGUAUGCGGUUCCUUCCCACAUAAAGGGCGCUGUGGACUUAACUUCUUGAAGGCGGCUGGCAUUUGGUGUGGAUCGGUGUUCACGGUUUAGGAGGCCAAUCAGUAGGAGGCAGGUCACAGCAUUUGCAAAAGUAGACCAGUAACGCCUGCCGAGACCCAGGAUUGGACCAGGGACCUUUAGAUCUUCAGUCUAAGGCUCUCCCAACGGGGCUAUCUUGGCAAGCCCUGGCACUGUCUUUUGUCAAUUACUCCCUAAAUAAAUUUUUCUGAACAGCA